GGUAAACAAAUAGACAAAAUAGGUAAACAAAUAGACAAAAAUAAACAAACAAAUAGAUAAAAUAAGGAAACACAUAAAUAUCCAUAUAAAAACAAAUAAAUGAACGAAUAAAAUAAAGAUGUACUUAAAAAAAUGAUUAAAUAUAUUGUAUGUAUAAUAUCUUAUUAUAUAUUGUUCUGUUCUUAUUAUAUUUAUAUAAAUAUAAGAACGCCAAUUUAUGAUUAUUCCAACAAAGUACAACAUGAUUUAAAGAAUGAAGGAAUUAAUUCGUUAGGAGAAGAAUAUAUAUAUAAGCCUUUUAAAAAUGCAUUAAAAGAAAAUGACAAAAUAGAUUAUCGUUUUUAUUUAACAAGUAUAGAGAAUAUAAAUUUAAAUAAACAUAUUAAAAAUAAAUAUAUUGAUAAAGAUGAACGUUUUAUUAAUGUAUUUAAUUUAACAAACGUUAGUUAUGUUUGGGAAAAAAACAAAGCAGAAUAUUCGAGUUAUUAUAAUUUUUAUUCACCUAAUAGAUAUUCCAACUUUUCUCUAGUGAUUCCUAAAAAAUUAGUUAAUAAGAACAAACACAUUUAUUUACAUAUAAUAACAUAUGUAAACAAUAAUAUAUAUAGACAUGGAUGUGUAAGCACUAUAUUAACAAAAAAAGAAAAAUAUAAGAAAACAAAAGAGCCAAAGGUAGGAUACUUAUGGGAAUGGUUUAUUAAAAAAAAUAAGGUGAAAGAAGAACAACUUCAGCAAUUAGAAAAAAAUGCAGCAAAUGAAAAAGAUGAAGUAAGCAAGAAGGGAAAACAAAACGAAGAAAGUGACAACGAAGGGGAUGAAGAAGACAUAGAGGAAGAUGAAGAUGAUUAUAUAAAUGAUGCUGAUAUACCAAUAAUACCCGUAGAAAACAAACAAAAGCAUUGGGAAAAUAAAAAUAAUCAUGAAAAAGAAAUAAAACAAAAUUUAAAUAAAAAAAAAAAAAAUGAAAAUAAAAAAAAUAAAUAUAAUUUAUUAUAUAUAACAAAGAGAAUUAAAUUUGGGCCUGUUAUAGAACAUAAUCAUAUAAAUGUAAAAAAGAUUGGUUUCUUUUCUAAUAUAUUUUUAGAUAAAACAACAUAUACAUAUCACAUGCCCACAUAUUUUAAUAAUUAUUUAACAUCUGACGAUGAUUAUGAGCUAGUUCUUGUUAAUGAUAAAGAGGAGUCUCAAGUGGAAGUAGAACAAGUGAAUACAAAAGACGCAAUUAAAAAAAAUGUAAAUGUAGAACAUGCAAGUACAGACCUUGCUAGUACAAUACAAACCAACAACGAAAAAAAAAAAAGUUCUAAUAAUAACGCAAAUAAAAAUGGAAGUAAAGAAAACAUAGUUUAUAUACAA
Molecule: long non-coding RNA, 1356 nt
Filed under: Piliocolobus tephrosceles (Ugandan red Colobus)
Lineage: Eukaryota; Metazoa; Chordata; Mammalia; Primates; Cercopithecidae
Description: lncRNA (ENSPTEG00000001359.1)
Source: RNAcentral